GUAAGCUGUACUUCCAGUUGGAGUGGCCACAAUGACACCAUCACCUUGCACCUUGGUUAUGAGGUGGUCAUGUUCAUAACACUCUAUUUUUGACAGGUAUGGAUUAGAACCACGAUCAACUACAACUUCAUUUAGGACAUCAAACACCUUUCCAGGCAUUGCUUUCCCACUUCGGAAUAUCUCACAUCGGAGACGCAUCCUUAGAGUUAUAUACACACCAUCUAGCGUGUUGUUUCCAUGGAUGACUUUUCUAAGAUCCUUCUUGUAAUCUUCAAAUGGAUGGGAAGUGAGAAAUCCAAGGGAUCCUAGGUUAAAUGAGAUGACGGGUGGAACAGCACCUCGAAAUAUAUUUGAUGCAUGGAGUAUCA
RNAcentral lists this unclassified non-coding RNA (368 nucleotides) under Hevea brasiliensis (rubber tree). Lineage: Eukaryota; Viridiplantae; Streptophyta; Magnoliopsida; Malpighiales; Euphorbiaceae. The record is from RNAcentral.